Molecule: ribosomal RNA, 1386 nt
Filed under: Actinoplanes sp. NBRC 101535
Lineage: Bacteria; Bacillati; Actinomycetota; Actinomycetes; Micromonosporales; Micromonosporaceae
Description: partial 23S ribosomal RNA
Rfam family: Bacterial large subunit ribosomal RNA
Source: RNAcentral
AGGUUGAGACGUGAUGCCGAGCCGUUUCUGGUGAAGUCAUUGAUCCUAUGCUGCCGAGAAAAGCCUCUAGCGAUGUUCUGAGCGGCCCGUACCCUAAACCGACACAGGUGGUCAGGUAGAGAAUACCGAGGCGACGGGUGAACUGUGGUUAAGGAACUCGGCAAAUUGCCCCCGUAACUUAGGGAGAAGGGGGGCCGGACGCGUGAAGCCCCUUGCGGGUGGAGCGUGGUAUGGCCGCAGAGAGCAGGGGGAAGCGACUGUUUACUAAAAACACAGGUCCAUGCCAAGUCGUAAGACGAUGUAUAUGGACUGACGCCUGCCCGGUGCUGGAACGUUAAGGGGACCUGUUAGCUCUUCGGGGCGAAGCGGAGAACUUAAGCGCCAGUAAACGGCGGUGGUAACUAUAACCAUCCUAAGGUAGCGAAAUUCCUUGUCGGGUAAGUUCCGACCUGCACGAAUGGCGUAACGACUUCCCCACUGUCUCAACCACAGGCCCGGCGAAAUUGCAGUACGAGUAAAGAUGCUCGUUACGCGCGGCAGGACGGAAAGACCCCGGGACCUUUACUAUAGCUUGACAUUGGUAUCUGAAUUAGCUUGUGUAGGAUAGGUGGGAGCCUGUGAAGCUUGGACGCCAGUUCGGGUGGAGGCAAUGUUGAAAUACCACUCUGGUUGGUUUGGGUAUCUAACUUGCGGCCCUGAUCGGGUCGAGGGACAGUGUCUGGUGGGUAGUUUAACUGGGGCGGUUGCCUCCUAAAGGGUAACGGAGGCGCCCAAAGGUUCCCUCAGCCUGGUUGGCAAUCAGGUGUUGAGUGUAAGUGCACAAGGGAGCUUGACUGUGAGACUGACGGGUCGAGCAGGGACGAAAGUCGGGACUAGUGAUCCGGCACUUGCGUGUGGAAGCGGUGUCGCUCAACGGAUAAAAGGUACCCCGGGGAUAACAGGCUGAUCUUCCCCAAGAGUCCAUAUCGACGGGAUGGUUUGGCACCUCGAUGUCGGCUCGUCGCAUCCUGGGGCUGUAGCAGGUCCCAAGGGUUGGGCUGUUCGCCCAUUAAAGCGGUACGCGAGCUGGGUUUAGAACGUCGUGAGACAGUUCGGUCCCUAUCCGCCGUGCGCGUUGGAUACUUGAGAAGGGCUGUCCCUAGUACGAGAGGACCGGGACGGACGAACCUCUGGUGUGCCAGUUGUUCCGCCAGGAGCAUGGCUGGUUGGCUACGUUCGGAAGGGAUAACCGCUGAAAGCAUCUAAGCGGGAAGCCUGCUUCGAGAUGAGGUAUCCCACCACCUUUGAGUGGGUAAGGCUCCCAGGAGACUACUGGGUUGAUAGGCCGGAGAUGUAAGCACGGUAACGUGUUGAGUUGACCGGUACUAAUAGGCCGAGGGCUUAACC